GAUGAACGCUAGCGAUAGGCCUAACACAUGCAAGUCGAGGGGCAGCAUAGAGUAGCAAUACUUUGAUGGCGACCGGCGCACGGGUGAGUAACACGUAUGCAACCUACCUCCAUCAGGGGAAUAACCCGGAGAAAUUCGGACUAAUACCGCAUAAUACAGGGAUGCCGCAUGGCAAUAUUUGUUAAAGAUUUAUCGGUUGGAGAUGGGCAUGCGUUCCAUUAGGUAGUUGGUAAGGUAACGGCUUACCAAGGCACCGAUGGAUAGGGGAACUGAGAGGUUUGUCCCCCACACUGGAACUGAGACACGGACCAGACUCCUACGGGAGGCAGCAGUGAGGAAUAUUGGUCAAUGGACGAGAGUCUGAACCAGCCAAAUCGCGUGAAGGAAGACUGCCCUACGGGUUGUAAACUUCUUUUGUACAGGAAUAAAAGACAUUACGUGUAAUGUAUUGCAUGUACUGUACGAAUAAGCAUCGGCUAACUCCGUGCCAGCAGCCGCCGUAA
This 503-nucleotide ribosomal RNA is filed under the name uncultured bacterium. RNAcentral describes it as "partial 16S ribosomal RNA". It matches the Rfam family "Bacterial small subunit ribosomal RNA", at positions 28 to 523 of the family's 1533-position model. The record is from RNAcentral.